GACGCACGCUGGCGGCGUGCCUAAUACAUGCAAGUAGAACGCACAGUUUAUACCGUAGCUUGCUACACCAUAGACUGUGAGUUGCGAACGGGUGAGUAACGCGUAGGUAACCUGCCUGGUAGCGGGGGAUAACUAUUGGAAACGAUAGCUAAUACCGCAUAAUAUUGAUUAUUGCAUGAUAAUUGAUUGAAAGAUGCUAUUGCAUCACUACCAGAUGGACCUGCGUUGUAUUAGCUAGUAGGCGAGGUAACGGCGCACCUAGGCGACGAUACAUAGCCGACCUGAGAGGGUGAGCGGCCACACUGGGACUGAGACACGGCCCAGACUCCUACGGGAGGCAGCAGGAGGGAAUCUUCGGCAAUGGACGGAAGUCUGACCGAGCAACGCCGCGGGAGUGAAGAAGGUUUUCGGAUCGUAAAGCUCUGUUGUAAGGGAAGAACGGGUGUGAGAGUGGAAAGUUCACACUGUGACGGUAUCUUACCAGAAAGGGACGGCUAACUACGUG
This 505-nucleotide ribosomal RNA is filed under the name uncultured bacterium. RNAcentral describes it as "partial 16S ribosomal RNA". It matches the Rfam family "Bacterial small subunit ribosomal RNA", at positions 28 to 507 of the family's 1533-position model. The record is from RNAcentral.